This is a long non-coding RNA of Gossypium arboreum, 430 nucleotides long. RefSeq lists it as uncharacterized. The transcript is spliced from 3 exons. The record is from RefSeq and is a predicted model, not a curated record. Lineage: Eukaryota; Viridiplantae; Streptophyta; Magnoliopsida; Malvales; Malvaceae.
UUCAGUAUUGUUCACUCUGAAUUUGUCGUGGAACCAUUUGAGUGGGAAGAUAUCAGAGAACAUUAGGAAUUUACAACUGUUGGAAAGUCUUGAUCUCUCAUACAACAAUCUUUCAGGCCCAAUUCCUACUAGCAUGAUCUCAAUGACUUUCUUGAACUAUUUGAAUCUGUCACCCAACAAGUUAUGGGGUCAAAUCCCAAUAGGUAACCAAUUCCAAACUUUCAAUGAACGUUGUAUAUAUGAAGGAAACCCAAAGCUUUGCAGUCCUUCAUUAUCAAACAGUUUUUCACCACCGACCAAUAGAGAUGGAGAAGAUGAAAAUGGAGACUCAGAAGUAAUGAUAGCUCGUUGCAAGGAGAAGAUUUGGGGGUGACACUGGACACUGAUGAGAAGAGAAGCUUGAUUUUAGGUGAGCCUUAGAUCGGUGGAC